Molecule: ribosomal RNA, 453 nt
Filed under: uncultured Alphaproteobacteria bacterium
Lineage: Bacteria; Pseudomonadati; Pseudomonadota; Alphaproteobacteria
Description: bacterial SSU rRNA
Rfam family: Bacterial small subunit ribosomal RNA
Source: RNAcentral
GGGAUCGGCCCGCGUUGGAUUAGGUAGUUGGUGGGGUAAUGGCCUACCAAGCCGACGAUCCAUAGCUGGUUUGAGAGGAUGAUCAGCCACACUGGGACUGAGACACGGCCCAGACUCCUACGGGAGGCAGCAGUGGGGAAUCUUAGACAAUGGGCGCAAGCCUGAUCUAGCCAUGCCGCGUGAGCGAUGAAGGCCUUAGGGUUGUAAAGCUCUUUCAGGGGGGAAGAUAAUGACUGUACCCCCAGAAGAAGCCCCGGCUAACUCCGUGCCAGCAGCCGCGGUAAUACGGAGGGGGCUAGCGUUGUUCGGAAUUACUGGGCGUAAAGCGCACGUAGGCGGACGAGAAAGUCAGAGGUGAAAUCCCAGGGCUCAACCUUGGAACUGCCUUUGAAACUUCUUGUCUUGAGGUCGAGAGAGGUGAGUGAAAUUCCGAGUGUAGAGGUGAAAUUCGUA